CAGCACCUCAAGUGGUCAGGAUGAUUACUGGGCCUAAAGCAUCCGUAGCCGGCGCUGUAAGUUUUCGGUUAAAUCUGUACGCUCAACGUACAGGCUGCCGGGAAUACUGCAGCGCUAGGGAGUGGGAGAGGUAGACGGUACUCGGUAGGAAGGGGUAAAAUCCUUUGAUCUAUUGAUGACCACCUGUGGCGAAGGCGGUCUACCAGAACACGUCCGACGGUGAGGGAUGAAAGCUGGGGGAGCAAACCGGAUUAGAUACCCGAGUAGUCC
This 270-nucleotide ribosomal RNA is filed under the name uncultured archaeon. RNAcentral's name for it is "partial 16S ribosomal RNA". It matches the Rfam family "Archaeal small subunit ribosomal RNA", at positions 477 to 747 of the family's 1478-position model. The record is from RNAcentral.